GUAAUUCUUUUUAUUAUUAUUAUUAUUAUUAUUUUUUCUCCACAGUUCACGCAUUCAUUCACUCAUCUCUUUUAACGUCCCAUCACUGAUCUUCCUCUUUCUCUUUCUCUCUCUUCUUUUCUUCUUCGUCUUCUCUCCCUGAAAGCCCUCCGUGUCUCAUGAAUAAAGAAAACACCAAAGCAUAAUCUCUUGCCCGUGAAAAGAUCAAUCCACGCUAACAAUAACCCAAUUGGCUUCUUCAAACUGUGAACUUUGAAGAAGAACAGGAAGCACAGUACCCCACCUGAUAGGUCUAAAAGGGAGCUCAAGACGAUAAGAAAAUAGGUAAAAUUGAAGCAGAUCGUUCGUCACCAUAUUAUCACCUUAAAGAUAGUAGAUUAGUAUAUUUGAUUUUCAUGGAGUCAGCAUCAGGAGGGACUGGAGCAUCCGACCCGAAUAGUGGAGAACCGAUUCCAUCAACAGCAGCAGCUGCUCCAACGGGAGCAUCUUCAGCAUCGCAAGGACAAGCAGAGGGAUCAUUUCAAGCUCCACCGAGCAGGUACGAGUCACAGAAGAGACGAGACUGGAACACGUUCUUACAAUACUUAAAGAAUCACAAGCCACCAUUAACUCUGGCUCGCUGCAGUGGGGCACAUGUGAUCGAGUUCUUGAAGUAUUUGGAUCAAUUUGGCAAGACCAAGGUCCACAUAACGGGUUGUCCGUAUUUUGGGCACCCGAAUCCACCCGCACCCUGUGCUUGUCCUCUCAAGCAGGCGUGGGGUAGCCUCGACGCGCUAAUCGGACGGCUGAGAGCGGCCUACGAAGAGAACGGUGGAAGACCAGAAUCUAAUCCUUUUGGAGCAAGAGCGGUGAGGAUUUAUCUCAGGGAAGUCAGAGAAGGACAAGCCAAAGCCAGAGGGAUACCCUACGAGAAGAAGAAACGGAAACGGCCUGCUGCAGUUACUACGGCAGCUGUUCCGGCUAAUGUUUCGGUAUCAGUAAGCCAAGGUGUUGAAGUCGGUGGCGGUUCCUCAAGUGGUGGUGGUGGUGUUGGAGAUGGGACCGGUAGUGGUGCUGGUGAAACUAGUACGGUAGCUGCCACCAGUACUACCCCCGCUGCUGCUACUACUACGACAGCCCUGCAAGAAAACUAAAAUCUGACAUAAAUGUGCAUGCGACCAAGGAAUCUGACCUAAAUGCCAAGAUUUUCCAGUUUUCAGCUUCUGCUUCUGCUUCUGGUUUCUGACCUGGUCCUGGCUGUCUUGAUCUGCUGGACUCCCCCUACCAUGGCCAAAUUUAGUUUCUGCUAUGAUGCACACGUCCGUCUCUGAAUUAUGCAUUUAGCACUUAACAGUUUCAGGUGCUUUUUCUUCUUUAAGCUAUCCACUUUGAUCUUAGAUUUUGGUUUCAGAUUUUUAGAUUUUGGGUUCUGGGUUUUCUUUGUACACUAUUGAUAUAUGCAUCAGGCAUCACUUGGAUCUCUCUCUGUGUCUUCCUAUUCCCAAUGAAAAGAACAUCUCUUUAAUUA
RNA transcript from Hevea brasiliensis (rubber tree), 1507 nucleotides. It is a transcript of the gene named protein LIGHT-DEPENDENT SHORT HYPOCOTYLS 6-like, with no coding region annotated. The record is from RefSeq and is a predicted model, not a curated record. The transcript has 3 exons. Lineage: Eukaryota; Viridiplantae; Streptophyta; Magnoliopsida; Malpighiales; Euphorbiaceae.